UACGGAGGAUCCAAGCGUUAUCCGGAAUCACUGGGCUUAAAGCGUGUGUAGGCGGGCCUGUAAGUGUCUUGUGAAAUCCCACGGCUCAACCGUGGAACUGCUGGGCAUACUGCGGGUCUUGGGCCAACUAGGGGCAGCCGGAACAAGCGGUGGAGCGGUGAAAUGCGUAGAUAUCGCUUGGAACGCCGAAGGUGAAAACAGGCUGCUGGGGUUGCGCCGACGCUGAGACACGAAAGCCAGGGGAGCAAACGGG
This 253-nucleotide ribosomal RNA is filed under the name uncultured bacterium. RNAcentral describes it as "partial 16S ribosomal RNA". It matches the Rfam family "Bacterial small subunit ribosomal RNA", at positions 524 to 776 of the family's 1533-position model. The record is from RNAcentral.